RNAcentral lists this ribosomal RNA (568 nucleotides) under uncultured fungus. RNAcentral's name for it is "eukaryotic LSU rRNA". The stretch from base 206 to 359 matches the Rfam family "5.8S ribosomal RNA". Lineage: Eukaryota; Fungi. The record is from RNAcentral.
CGUACAGGUCUCCGUAGGUGAACCUGCGGAGGGAUCAUUACACAAAUAUGAAGGCGGGCUGGAACCUCUCGGGGUUACAGCCUUGCUGAAUUAUUCACCCUUGUCUUUUGCGUACUUCUUGUUUCCUUGGUGGGUUCGCCCACCACUAGGACAAACAUAAACCUUUUGUAAUUGCAAUCAGCGUCAGUAACAAAUUAAUAAUUACAACUUUCAACAACGGAUCUCUUGGUUCUGGCAUCGAUGAAGAACGCAGCGAAAUGCGAUAAGUAGUGUGAAUUGCAGAAUUCAGUGAAUCAUCGAAUCUUUGAACGCACAUUGCGCCCUUUGGUAUUCCAAAGGGCAUGCCUGUUCGAGCGUCAUUUGUACCCUCAAGCUUUGCUUGGUGUUGGGCGUCUUGUCUCUAGCUUUGCUGGAGACUCGCCUUAAAGUAAUUGGCAGCCGGCCUACUGGUUUCGGAGCGCAGCACAAGUCGCACUCUCUAUCAGCAAAGGUCUAGCAUCCAUUAAGCCUUUUUUUUCAACUUUUGACCUCGGAUCAGGUAGGGAUACCCGCUGAACUUAAGCAUAUC